GACGAACGCUGGCGGCGUGCUUAACACAUGCAAGUCGAACGGCAAGGCCCUGCUUUUGUGGGGUGCUCGAGUGGCGAACGGGUGAGUAACACGUGAGUAACCUGCCCUUGACUUUGGGAUAACUUCAGGAAACUGGGGCUAAUACCGGAUAGGAGCUCCCGCUGCAUGGUGGGCGUUGGAAAGUUUCGGCGGUAGGGGAUGGACUAGCGGCUUACCAGCUUGUUGGUGGGGUAGUGGCUUACCAAGCCUUUGACGGGUAGCCGGCCUGAGAGGGUGACCGGCCACAUUGGGACUGAGAUACGGCCCAGACUCGUACGGGAGGCAGCGGUGGGGAAUAUUGCACAAUGGGCGGAAGCCUGAUGCAGCAACGCCGCGUGCGGGAUGACGGCCUUCGGGUUGUAAACCGCUUUCGCCUGUGACGAAGCGUGAGUGACGGUAAUGGGUGAAGAAGCACCGGCUAACUACGUG
This 468-nucleotide ribosomal RNA is filed under the name uncultured bacterium. Its description in RNAcentral is "partial 16S ribosomal RNA". It matches the Rfam family "Bacterial small subunit ribosomal RNA", at positions 28 to 507 of the family's 1533-position model. The record is from RNAcentral.